Molecule: long non-coding RNA, 4780 nt
Filed under: Chinchilla lanigera (long-tailed chinchilla)
Lineage: Eukaryota; Metazoa; Chordata; Mammalia; Rodentia; Chinchillidae
Description: lncRNA (ENSCLAG00000027034.1)
Source: RNAcentral
UUUUGGGUGACCACCUGGCUUGGAAGUGUUUGUGAUUAAGAGGAUGACUGGUAAUUCUGAGAGUUGAUCCUGGAUUGUUGCUUGAAAAAGACAUAUAAAAAAGUAAUUAUGGAGUUUUGUGCUUUCAGAUAUAUGUCCUUAUUCUUACUCGACACUCAAAAGAAUUUUUCAUUACAUGGCUUCUGGUUAGAAAAUUGACUUUCAGCUGAUAAGAAACUCCCUGCUUUCAUGAUGGAAAUAGUAUAAGUUAACACAGAUAUUGUGUCAAGUGCAGUAUUUUCCAUGUACACUCCUGGAAUUCUGAAUGUGAACAGAGAGUGUAAGUCUCAUUUACAUUCUGUGAAGUUUCUACCCUCUCAGGUUGGUCUGUGUGCUUUUGAUCCUUAGUUGGAUGAAUUAGAAAUAUAUCAUAAUUCUGAGCAGUGACAUAAUGUGGGAAGCUUGGGGUUUUGAAACAACAUAUUGCAGAAAGAGGAAGCAAUGAGAAUCCUUUUUUCCCCUUUUAUCUCCUACACAGAGUCAUAGCUCCUUGAAGAGAAAGAAAGUCAUGAACCUCAGACGGACAGGAAUAAUUCAUGCACAUCCUCCAAGACUGUUGAAGGCCCAGAGGGCAGAGCUGCAGCCCUGUGCAGCAGGCUGGGGAGGGAGGCAGAGUCUUAGUUUCAGUCCAGGGGAAGAAUGCUCAGUCUGUACAGAGAGGUCGACAGUUUCCCUGUUCGUUUCAAGAAGGAUGAAUGUACCUGCAAGAAGAAUUGAGCCCGGAUCUGCUGACUGUCUUUUACAUGCUCCCAGACUGUGUGUGUGACACACAGCAUCUUUUCCCUUGUGUGAGGCUCAUUCUGGUAAUCUGACUUCAGGGAGUGAGGUCUAGUGCAAGAACCUCUGCCUGGCAGGUAUUUGUCACCACUCCGCUCAUGUCCAGGAUCAUCAGACAAGCAACUUCAGCUGCCACAUGGGCUACAGUGCUUGGCCGGCUGGGCCAAAGACCCUGCCUUUUGCUCUAUGAUUUCUUCAUGUGGCUCUUCUUUAAACUCAGCAUUCCUGAGCUCUGCUUAUGGCCAGUACUUUUUACUUAUAUGACCAUGUGGUGUUGAAGAACAUCUCAUCUGCUGCUUGGGAAGAGAGUUGUAUUUAUGCCUCGAGGGAGGCCUGCCUCAGGAUACAAACAUUUUGUCACUUGGGGGUCCCUUCAGCUUCACCAUCACAUACUGUCCUCCUUGCUUCAUGACAUCACGUACAGCCAGUGCUCAGAGCUGUCCAAGGAUGGCUUUGGGUGCCCAGUGAAAAAAGGCAGAUCCUAACUUGAGCAGAGUAUAUUUAUUAAGCUUGCAAAUCCCAAAUAGCCUUGAAAUGAAGUUUCCUGAAGCCAUUCAAAACUGAAGUAGACAGAAUUCCUUCCCAUUGUGUGCCUGAAUUUAAAAAACAAAACAAACAAACAAACUGAAAAAAAGUCCAAACCAAACCUACCCAACAUACAAAGUUGGGGGUAGAAAAAUUAACCCUGGGAAAAUCUGGAAAAGCCUAAGAUUAUACAAGACAUUCAUCCUCACACCGAUUUUCUUUUUCUUUUUUCUUUUCUUUUUUCUUUUUUUUUUUUUGGGGGGGUACAAUCCUGUGUUGUGCUCAAAACAAAAAUCCGAGAAUACUUCUUAAAGAGGAAAACAAAGCUCAGGCCCAGCCAUACAUCUGUGAGUUUUGAAACAAAGGUUUGUUUGUGUGCCUCAUCCACCCUCACCCAUGAAAGCAGACCCUUACUUGAAAAACUUUCCAGGGAAACACUCUAAACCAACAUCCUGGUAUAAAUUUGCAAAACGCAAUACAGGCCUGAUUGUUUUUGGAGUGGAUGCAGGCCGCAUACGAAUAGCUCUUUCUGAAACGUAAUGUUCUUUGCACGGCUCAGUGGCUAAUGUACAAUAAAUCAACAAAAGAGCGCUUCAAUAAAGCUAUUGGGCAGCAGCAAGGCCACUGUUAUUUUAUCUUUUUACAGUAUUUAAUUGGAAGGUUUUUCCUGAAACUUUAGCCAGCCUUCAAAUUACUAGACUCCAUAGAAGAAGAGAUUGAUAAGAGAAAUUUUUUUUCCAGGAUUUUUUCCUUACAAGAGAGCAAGUUUUUGCAGAGGGAGAAUAAAGUUACAAGUGUCUAGCAUUUUGCUGAGAGAGAAUGAAAUCAGAUGCUGAAUGGAGCGGAUAGGAAAGGCUGGGAAAAUGCGGAGCUGGCAGAACUGCCAGGUCAGUGCAGAGCCCCACUGUCCUGCUCCCUGCACCAGGUGUCCGGCAUUCAAAUGACACUAUUAUUCAUAGACGGAGCAGAGUAUUAAACUCCCCCCCAAAAAUCAUUUGCAACUGAAUAAAGAUAUAAUCCUGGAAAUAUAACUCUCCAUUAAGGGUCCCCAUCAGCGACACAAGAGCCCCAUUGUACAGGAGUUAUGUAUAUUUAUCAAGUAAAAAAAAAACUUGUCUUAGUGCUUACAUGUUAAUAGAAAACUUUUAUAGCCCUGGUCUCAGAACUAGUUAUGCAUAAAAUGUAAAGCAUCUAUUAUUCUUUGGCAAACUCUUUAACAUUUGACAGUGAAUUGCUAAUACAUGAAUAGUCUCUGGCACAGGGAUGCAUAGCGUCUUCCUGGCUGGCUAGAGGCUGGCUUGAAGUGGGUGAGAUGUGAGGCCUCAUAUUUUAAGUUGGUCCUUCGAUGGAGUGCGUUUUUUUUCUAAGAGCUCUGCUACCUUUUCCUGGCUGCUGCUGACUAUGACGGGUGGUGCGCAGGUGAGUAGCCCAUUCAGAACAUCCCUGGGCAGGUGUGGUCAUCCCUUUUCCCUUCCUGUCCCUCUGCAGAGGGCUGGGCUACAUGGGCCUGUGCAGGAGAGUGCCUCUGGACCCACAUUCUCAGGAAGGGGCCCCUGGGGUCAGCCUGCGCAGCGCUGCUGCCUGUCCUGCUUCAUCCCCUGAAGCUGCAGAGCUGCAUCAAAAGCCACCCUGUGAAGAGAGCAAACCCAGGGUGGUGUGGACCUGGGGGACAGCUACAAAUGCCAGAAAGUAACCAUUUCCCUGUGUUCCUCAAGGAGCACCCUUCUCUUUCACAGGCUUCUCUCACUUUUUGCACUAACGUAAUAAUCAGCAAAGCUGUGUCAAGAUGUGAACAUGCAUCCUGUAGCUACGGCCCACCUUGCCACUGUGCUCAAAGCAUCUGGUGUAGAGUUUGGGGCUUGUGCCAUAACUUCUGAGUUCCACUCCCUCCUGGAGACUUGCAGCUGAGGGCAGUGUGCCUGGAGGGGGCUGGUCUGCUAGUGUCAUGCUGCCCUCUUUCAAAGAAAGGAGCUUGGGUGCCAGAGGUAGACAAAGAGCCUCCCCUGGGCUGGGACCUAGAGAAUAGCCGGAUUGGCCCAGGCACCUCAAAAUGCCCUUCCUGAGUAUCUUUGUGGGGAACCACUACACCCCGAUCUGUUCUUCCCAUUCUCACUGUUUCUCUGGCAUCCUGCUGACAACUUGUCUCCGGAUUCUUAUGCUGCACUCCUACCCUCCAGUGCCUGUGAGUAUGAUCUCAGAGGAAGCAGAGUCUUAACACAUGAUGAAGAGGUCAGUGGUGGGCCUUAAUCCAGCAUGGUGGUGUCCUUAGGAGGAGGGAAGUUUGGAGAUGGGGACAAGUAUGGGUGGGGGACAGGAGGCCAGGAGGCAGGCCUGUGCAGGGGAGGGGAGACUUUCCUUGCUCUUCUGGAAUACCUGGCGGGGCCUGAAAAUGAAGACUUCUCUACCACUUUCACUUGAAUGAUUCUCACAAACGGUUUAAGAGGUGGAUGUGGCUUUGUCAGAGGACUUGGAUCCCUGAACUGCAGCUUCCUGAUCAUAUAAGGUGUACGCAGCCAUGGUACUCACGUUGGGCACCAGAAUCUAUGAAGUAGGAAAUGGUAUGGGGGUCCUUGACUGCAUCUCAAAAUUAAACUAAAAAUGAUGGUGAAGAGGAGAAAGCAUGCAAAUUUUCCAUGGCAACAGGGCCUUUAUGGGGAUUGAAGACCCAAAGAAGUGGGUGGGAGAAGGGAUAGUCCUGGUGAAGUAAGACUGGAUAAAAAUUAUGCUUGAAUGGCAACUAACAGCCCUGUGAUUUGUCUUCCUUGUGUUCCUGUGUCUUCAGAGAUGAGGCUGUGCCUUUCUUCGGGCUAGGAAAGUGGUCUUCACAGGAAAGUCAUGCGACUAGCUUCAGGACAUCACAAAGUCCAACCUAAGUCCCAGUGUGAGCUCUAUAACAGCAGCCUUGGGGAACCUGUGCAUCUUCCAUGAGGUCAGGAACCCAGCUCAGGGAUGUGUGUGUGUCCAUCUCCACAGCAGGAUGUAGCGGGCAUCAGAAUGCAGAGCUCCCCAUAGGGAAUGACCUUGUUGGAGAUGGAAGCAACCUUGCUCUGCUGAAUAUACCCUGGCCUUGCCAGACAUGGCCUUGUUGUGCACAUCCUUUCCUGUACAGGGCAAGGAAACAUGACUGAUCACUCCUGCAAAUCCUCUCUUCCUCACUACCUGUCCACACACACACACACACACACACACACACACACACACACACAAAACCAAAAAAAAAAAACACACCUCACAGAGCCCCCUCAGUUGAAGUGGCUAUUCUUUCUCUUUAAUAUAUUUGCCAUAGAAACUACCUGGAAUAUGUUGUCACCAGUCCAAUGAAAAGCCAUAUAUAAUGAAGUUAAUCCCAGUGCUGGGGGCUGGGGAUUUAGCUCAGCGACAAAGCGCCUGCCUGGCAAGCACAAGGUCGUGAGUUCGGUUCCUGGUACCGGAGAAAAAC